GAUGCAAGACCAACAUUCACUGAAUUAAGAAAUCAGUUGAAGGACAUGGAAAGGCAGCACAAGAGGCUGAUCAACAUGAAAAUGUACGACAAGCACUUGUAUGCAAACUUUGAAGAUCUACUGGUAUAGUCAAGUACACAUGUCGUCAAAGUUUGAUUGGCUGUGAAAGAGAUUUGCUACAAAAGUUCAAGGUUGGCGUACACGAGAAGGCUAAUCGCAAGAACAUGUCUCGGGGACUAGUCCAUUUUAGGGUUACACCAUGGCACUAUUCUCUAGAUCAUGAAUGGUUUACACUGUGGGACCUGUUACAUAUCAUAGCAAAAUUAUGCGCUUUCACUGAAAAUCAGCAAAGCAAGGAGGCGAAAUAAAAAAGGGAGCGGUCCUAAACAGAGAAACCGAAUUUACUAAUUUACUGAGUAUUGUCAUACAAUGAAAAGCUUGUGUUAUUCUUCUUGCUUCAAUUUGAUUCUCAAAAAUAUUAUUCGCCGGUUUUUUUUUUUCUGUUUAAAAAAUAAUCGAGGAGCUAGAUAGUUGUGCAUUUUUCGGGUAGUUGUAGGCAUAUGUCAAAGCUUAUUUUCAUAGACGCAGUUUUUUAAAACAAUAGUUUCAUACUUUUUGUGUUCAAUAAAAUUGUAAACAAG
Molecule: long non-coding RNA, 641 nt
Organism: Stylophora pistillata
Lineage: Eukaryota; Metazoa; Cnidaria; Anthozoa; Scleractinia; Pocilloporidae
Source: RefSeq, a predicted model, not a curated record